GACGAACGCUGGCGGCGUGCUUAACACAUGCAAGUCGAACGGAAAGGCCCUGCUUUUGUGGGGUGCUCGAGUGGCGAACGGGUGAGUAACACGUGAGUAACCUGCCCUUGACUUUGGGAUAACUUCAGGAAACUGGGGCUAAUACCGGAUAGGAGCUCCUGCUGCAUGGUGGGGGUUGGAAAGUUUCGGCGGUUGGGGAUGGACUCGCGGCUUAUCAGCUUGUUGGUGGGGUAGUGGCUUACCAAGGCUUUGACGGGUAGCCGGCCUGAGAGGGUGACCGGCCACAUUGGGACUGAGAUACGGCCCAGACUCCUACGGGAGGCAGCAGUGGGGAAUAUUGCACAAUGUGCGGAAGCCUGAUGCAGCAACGCCGCGUGCGGGAUGACGGCCUUCGGGUUGUAAACCGCUUUCGCCUGUGACGAAGCGUGAGUGACGGUAAUGGGUAAAGAAGCACCGGCUAACUACGUG
Molecule: ribosomal RNA, 468 nt
Filed under: uncultured bacterium
Lineage: Bacteria
Description: partial 16S ribosomal RNA
Rfam family: Bacterial small subunit ribosomal RNA
Source: RNAcentral